CAUAGGUGGCAGCAUCAUAUUCACUCAUCUGAAUCUCCUUUAGCCUGAAACCAGAGAGAUAAAAGACAGCACCUUACAUCACAUCCACUUCCUAGCACAUGCCUGGCACACCGUGGCACUUAAUAAAUGUCAUUGGGCAACGCUUUGAAAACACUAUCUAAAGGAUGUGGAAGCGCAGCACGUAAUGCAAUACCAGAUGUUCUACGUGGGAGAAUUUCAUAACUCCAUGCACUAACUGUACCCGGCUCCUUUCACGGAGCACAAACAUGUAAAUCUGCUUUGCAAGCCAUCACUAAGUCUCCCGGUCUGAAAGAAGAUACUGCUGGUUCUUUGGCAUUUUUCACUUUUAGAUGAAGAACACAUGGAGAUGUCUGGUAAAAGCAUCCUGUGGAUUCGUCUCGUUUUAAGAUGGGGCCAAAGUGACCCAGAACAGCUGUGGGAACAUCUGAGUACCAC
Molecule: long non-coding RNA, 456 nt
Organism: Chinchilla lanigera (long-tailed chinchilla)
Lineage: Eukaryota; Metazoa; Chordata; Mammalia; Rodentia; Chinchillidae
Exons: 3
Source: RefSeq, a predicted model, not a curated record